Molecule: long non-coding RNA, 412 nt
Organism: Arabidopsis thaliana (thale cress)
Lineage: Eukaryota; Viridiplantae; Streptophyta; Magnoliopsida; Brassicales; Brassicaceae
Product: other RNA
Exons: 1
Source: RefSeq
CGUUGCCACCUUCGCAAGAGUUUUGAGCAGUGAGUUCAACUCCAUCUCACCAUAAAAAGUCUAGUAGUUAACCAAAAAAAAAAAAUCUUAACUGAAAAACCAAAUAGACUUUAAUUAUUGAAAAAAGAGUUGAAAGCUAAAAAUUAAACCAUAAUUACUAAUUAGUCAUCCAAAGAAGACAAGAUGUACUUGGUCAUGAAUAUAUUAUAAGAGGAAGUAAUAUUUAGAGCAUGUCUAUAUGUGUCAUGUCUGAACUUCGGUUUAGGUUUCUCCACUAAAUAUUUUACAAAAUACUCAUUUAUAUGCGCAGUCAUCAGGUUUUGGGAAUACAUGUAAACUGCAAAAAGAAAAACGGACGUUAACGAAAUAAUGCAAUUAUAGUCAACCGUCCCUCUACCGAAAAUAUACCUCA